This 1506-nucleotide ribosomal RNA is filed under the name metagenome. RNAcentral's name for it is "bacterial SSU rRNA". It matches the Rfam family "Bacterial small subunit ribosomal RNA". The record is from RNAcentral.
AGAGUUUGAUCAUGGCUCAGGACGAACGCUGGCGGCGUGCCUAAUACAUGCAAGUAGAACGCUGAAGGGAGGAGCUUGCUCUUCUUGGAUGAGUUGCGAACGGGUGAGUAACGCGUAGGUAACCUGCCUUGUAGCGGGGGAUAACUAUUGGAAACGAUAGCUAAUACCGCAUAACAAUGGAUGACACAUGUCAUUUAUUUGAAAGGGGCAAUUGUUCCACUACAAGAUGGACCUGCGUUGUAUUAGCUAGUAGGUGAGGUAAUGGCUCACCUAGGCGACGAUACAUAGCCGACCUGAGAGGGUGAUCGGCCACACUGGGACUGAGACACGGCCCAGACUCCUACGGGAGGCAGCAGUAGGGAAUCUUCGGCAAUGGGGGCAACCCUGACCGAGCAACGCCGCGUGAGUGAAGAAGGUUUUCGGAUCGUAAAGCUCUGUUGUAAGUCAAGAACGGGUGUGAGAGUGGAAAGUUCACACUGUGACGGUAGCUUACCAGAAAGGGACGGCUAACUACGUGCCAGCAGCCGCGGUAAUAUGUAGGUCCCGAGCGUUGUCCGGAUUUAUUGGGCGUAAAGCGAGCGCAGGCGGUUUGAUAAGUCUGAAGUUAAAGGCUGUGGCUCAACCAUAGUUCGCUUUGGAAACUGUCAAACUUGAGUGCAGAAGGGGAGAGUGGAAUUCCAUGUGUAGCGGUGAAAUGCGUAGAUAUAUGGAGGAACACCGGUGGCGAAAGCGGCUCUCUGGUCUGUAACUGACGCUGAGGCUCGAAAGCGUGGGGAGCGAACAGGAUUAGAUACCCUGGUAGUCCACGCCGUAAACGAUGAGUGCUAGGUGUUGGAUCCUUUCCGGGAUUCAGUGCCGCAGCUAACGCAUUAAGCACUCCGCCUGGGGAGUACGACCGCAAGGUUGAAACUCAAAGGAAUUGACGGGGGCCCGCACAAGCGGUGGAGCAUGUGGUUUAAUUCGAAGCAACGCGAAGAACCUUACCAGGUCUUGACAUCCCGAUGCUAUUUCUAGAGAUAGAAAGUUACUUCGGUACAUCGGUGACAGGUGGUGCAUGGUUGUCGUCAGCUCGUGUCGUGAGAUGUUGGGUUAAGUCCCGCAACGAGCGCAACCCCUAUUGUUAGUUGCCAUCAUUCAGUUGGGCACUCUAGCGAGACUGCCGGUAAUAAACCGGAGGAAGGUGGGGAUGACGUCAAAUCAUCAUGCCCCUUAUGACCUGGGCUACACACGUGCUACAAUGGUUGGUACAACGAGUUGCGAGUCGGUGACGGCGAGCUAAUCUCUUAAAGCCAAUCUCAGUUCGGAUUGUAGGCUGCAACUCGCCUACAUGAAGUCGGAAUCGCUAGUAAUCGCGGAUCAGCACGCCGCGGUGAAUACGUUCCCGGGCCUUGUACACACCGCCCGUCACACCACGAGAGUUUGUAACACCCGAAGUCGGUGAGGUAACCUUUUGGAGCCAGCCGCCUAAGGUGGGACAGAUGAUUGGGGUGAAGUCGUAACAAGGUA